GCGGUGGUAGCGUAUUGGUUAAAGAACUAGGCUAGCAUGUAGUAGCCUGGGUUCAAUUCCCGGCUUCCACC
This 71-nucleotide transfer RNA is filed under the name Alosa alosa (allis shad). Its description in RNAcentral is "tRNA-OTHER". The record is from RNAcentral. Lineage: Eukaryota; Metazoa; Chordata; Actinopteri; Clupeiformes; Clupeidae.